RNAcentral lists this ribosomal RNA (496 nucleotides) under uncultured bacterium. RNAcentral's name for it is "partial 16S ribosomal RNA". It matches the Rfam family "Bacterial small subunit ribosomal RNA", at positions 28 to 506 of the family's 1533-position model. The record is from RNAcentral.
GAUGAACGCUGGCGGCGUGCCUAAUACAUGCAAGUCGAGCGAACAGAUGAGGAGCUUGCUCCUCUGACGUUAGCGGCGGACGGGUGAGUAACACGUGGAUAACCUACCUAUAAGACUGGGAUAACUUCGGGAAACCGGAGCUAAUACCGGAUAAUAUAUUGAACCGCAUGGUUCAAUAGUGAAAGACGGUUUUGCUGUCACUUAUAGAUGGAUCCGCGCCGCAUUAGCUAGUUGGUAAGGUAACGGCUUACCAAGGCAACGAUGCGUAGCCGACCUGAGAGGGUGAUCGGCCACACUGGAGCUGAGACACGGUCCAGACUCCUACGGGAGGCAGCAGUAGGGAAUCUUCCGCAAGGGGCGAAAGCCUGACGGAGCAACGCCGCGUGAGUGAUGAAGGUCUUCGGGUCGUAAAACUCUGUUAUUAGGGAAGAACAAAUGUGUAAGUAACUAUGCACGUCUUGACGGUACCUAAUCAGAAAGCCACGGCUAACUACGU